This 277-nucleotide ribosomal RNA is filed under the name uncultured bacterium. RNAcentral's name for it is "partial 16S ribosomal RNA". It matches the Rfam family "Bacterial small subunit ribosomal RNA", at positions 29 to 296 of the family's 1533-position model. The record is from RNAcentral.
AACGAACGCUGGCGGCGCGCUUAACACAUGCAAGUCGAACGAGAAGGCGUAGCAAUACGCUUGUACAGUGGCGAACGGGUGAGGAAUACAUGGGUAACCUACCCUCGAGUGGGGGAUAACCCGCCGAAAGGCGGGCUAAUACCGCGUACGCUUCCGAUCUUGCGGGGUUGGAAGGAAAGCUGUCCCUUGGGGAUGGCGCUCAAGGAUGGGCUCAUGUCCUAUCAGCUUGUUGGUAGGGUAAUGGCCUACCAAGGCAUCGACGGGUAGCUGGUCUGAG